UACAGAGGUCUCAAGCUUUGUUCGGAUUCAUUGGGCGUAAAGGGUGCGUAGGCGGCGCGGUAAGUCGGGUGUGAAAUCUCGGAGCUUAACUCCGAAACUGCAUUCGAUACUGCCGUGCUUGAGGACUGGAGAGGAGACUGGAAUUUACGGUGUAGCGGUGAAAUGCGUAGAUAUCGUAAGGAAGACCAGUGGCGAAGGCGGGUCUCUGGACAGUUCCUGACGCUGAGGCACGAAGGUCAGGGGAGCAAACGGG
RNAcentral lists this ribosomal RNA (253 nucleotides) under uncultured bacterium. RNAcentral describes it as "partial 16S ribosomal RNA". It matches the Rfam family "Bacterial small subunit ribosomal RNA", at positions 524 to 776 of the family's 1533-position model. The record is from RNAcentral.